CUCGAAGGAUAAAUUGAAAUGUCAUGGUCAUGUCAACAAAAAACCGAACGACGCCGUUAGUUUGAUUAGUGCUAUGGUUGAAAGAUGGAGACCAGAAACGCAUACUUUUCAUCUCCCAAUAGGUGAGUGCACAAUAACUUUAGAAGACGUGUACUAUAUUUUAGGAUUAAAAGUGUCUGGUUUUCCGGUUCAAAUUUUGUGAAUGUGAAAGAUGUUUGUCAAGAAUAUUUAGGAGUUAUCCCACCUGAGGGAGCAACAAAGGGUAAUUUUAUUAAAUUAAAAUGGCUUAAAGAUACUUUUGACAAUGUUGGUGAAAACGCAUCGGAAGUAGAAAAACAAGCAUCAUGUCGAGCAUAUAUAUUACGUAUGAUUGGAGGAUUGUUGAUGCCAGACAAAUCCAAUAAUCGUGUACAUCUAAAAUAUCUUUCAAUCUUGGGCGAUUUAAAUAAAGCAUCCCAUUAUAGUUGGGGUUCGGCAGUUUUAGCAACACUUUAUAGAGAAUAAUACAUUGCUACGAAACCCCCGAUGUAAUGUCGAUGAGAGGAUGUGCAUUGUUGUUGCAAAAUUGGGCAUGGUAUCGUUUGACUUGUGUUGCUCCGGAUGCACCCAGUGCAUGGAUAUUUCCACUUGCACAAAGAUUUAAUUCCGGGGGUCUAAAUUUUAGUAGAGUUCCUCACAAUGAUAUAGAAGGAUACCAGAAUACUAUCGAUCAUAUGAUGGUUCAGGAAUUUCGUUGAAGACCGUAUCUCGGGUUCCAACACGAGGUACCCGAACAAGAGAUCAACACUUGGACUUCAUGUACCUAUCUGCACUGUUAUCAUAUCGUCGAAAAACAUCAUGCAGAUAGAGUUGCACUUCAGUUCGGCUUUCAUCGACAAAUUCCGCAAUCUCUAGAAGAUAUGACGCUCUACCAUGAGAUCGACAUGAGGUGUGGCGUCGAUGAUAAUUGGAGUGUGGUUUGGAAAGAUGAGAUUCAACAUUGGAAUGAACAUCAUAAUUACAUAUUGCAAGGUCAAUACGUUGAAGGUGUUUUAUGCCACACUAAAGAAUAUAUAUGAAUUGGUUCAGACAUCACACUAAAUUAUAUAUAUUUGUGGAAAGAUACUUGCGUGAUCCACGUUUGCAACCUUCAACAUAUCCCGAUGUUCACUCUAUGCCUCAAUCAAUCCCACAACAAAAUACCAUGC
Cicer arietinum (chickpea) is the source of this 1187-nucleotide non-coding RNA. Lineage: Eukaryota; Viridiplantae; Streptophyta; Magnoliopsida; Fabales; Fabaceae. The record is from RefSeq and is a predicted model, not a curated record.